Equus quagga is the source of this 3178-nucleotide long non-coding RNA. RefSeq lists it as uncharacterized. Lineage: Eukaryota; Metazoa; Chordata; Mammalia; Perissodactyla; Equidae. The record is from RefSeq and is a predicted model, not a curated record. The transcript has 3 exons.
UACUUUCCACUCCAGGGCUAUUACAAAUAGUUCUGAUAUGAACGUUCUAGGAUGUGAUUUUGGUAAAUAAAGUACACAUUCCAAUUGGAUUCAUGCCUAGGAGUGAAAGUACCCUGUCAUAGGUUAUGCACACAUUCAGCGUUAGUAGAUACUGCCAAUGGGUUUUUCCAAGGAAUUAUGCCAUUUGCACUCCCACCAGCAGCAUUUGAGCCUUCCAGUUCCUUCACAUUCUCGCCAGCACUUGGCCAGCACCAUGCUCUUUUAGUUACUGACUUUAUGGCAGUGCCAUGAUAAACAGCUCUGUGUGCAUAUUAGUAUAUUUUUGCGACCAUAUCCAUUGGAUCAGGUCCCAGCAAUGGAAUUUGGUUGAUAAGAACACAGCUACCAUUCCCUUGCCUUUGGCAUAACUGGAAGACAGGAAACUACGAACUUCAGAUAACAGUAAGUAGAACAAUAAAGACCGCUUUCUGGUGGGCUGAGUUCGCUCCAAGUCUGUGGAGAGCUAGAGGGAGCGUUGAGAAACUGCACAGAAGGAACGUAAGGAAAUUUAGACGAAAUCACUCUCAGGAAGAGAACGUUCACUGUAAGAGUGAAAAUACUGGAAAAGAGUCCUGUUAGGUAAAGCAGUGACCUCAGGGAAGGGAGUUUUUAAUAGUGCCCAGGAAUAAAGAAGGCAGUCAUGCAAAGGCAUUGCUUCUGGGGAGAAAAAAGAGUGAAAUGGAAGGGAGAGGCACCUUUGGAAAUAGUGAAGUGAAGGAAAAAUGAAGCAAGAGGUAAACUUAUCUGUCUGUAAGACAAAAACCAAAAAAAUUGAAGGACGUGCUACGUCCCCUACCACUCUCCCUAAAAUCAAGACACCCGUUAACUAAACUUCACUUUGCUCUGCUGACAGAAGAGGGCACUCUCGAACUGGCAUUCUUGUUUGUCAUCCCAGACUGCCACGCCAUCCAAAGGGCCGAGAUACAAGUAGUUUAUAUAUAACUACUAAGGAAGAAAACCAAAAAUGAGAAUUAAAAACUUCAGUUGACAAAAUUCUCUUCACUGUGCAAGUCAAUCAUGAAGCAGAUGAUGACACUGCAGUCUGAGUUCAGUUGCCUCCAAUAAGCAUUUGAGGUUAUGAAAAUCCAAAGUUCAGAAACCAGUGACAGAAGGGGAGUAAAAUAGGAAGAAGUAAAUUUAGAGCUGAUUGAAUUAAAAUGGUGGCGGGGCGACAAAGUCACAUGUCAGAAAUUAAGACAAAAUUACAAAGUACUCAGGAGAAUAUAUUUGAGUCAAAUUUAAUAAGGAACAUUGAAGAAAAUGGGGAAAAUAACCAAGAAAAUGAAGAUAAAGAAAAAGGUAAAUAUUGGAAAAAAGUGACUAAAAUGGAAGCCAGGCAAAGAAGACCAAAUGUACAUAUAAUUGGAGUGUCUGAAGAAGAAAAACCAGGAACGGACUAUUUAAAACUAAUCCAAGAAAGCAUUUCAGAAAUAAAGUUAAGGCCGAGAUCUACAUAAUGAAAGAGACCACUGAGCACCUGGGAAAAUUGACCUAGAAUGAUCCAACUGGAGUAAAUGUCCACAUAUAACAAUUACAUUUUUAAAAUUAAGAAAAAUCCUUGGGACCUGGAAGCAAAAAGAUUAAAUUACUUACAAGGAUAAGAGACUUAGAGUAGCAUCAGACUUCUCAAAAGCAACAUGCAGAACAAGGCAACAGUGGAAAAGCACUGCAGGAGACUCAGUCGUGUAUUAAGACUAAGGAAAACAGUUCUAAAUAUGCAAGAACUGAGGGAAUUCUGUGUUCCCAGGCUCUUCUUGUAUCUAUUAGAGGAUGAGCUUCAUUCAACCAAGAGAUGACUGGAGGAAUUUCAGCAAAAGGAUGGAUGGUGCUUAUUUAAUUAUAAUUCUAAGACUACAGCAAGGCUGGAGAACAGUGUAUAAAUGCCAUUUUAGUUGCAGAAAAAAUGCAACUGAAAGAUGAGAGGAGAAGGAACAGGGAAAGAGUAAAGCAGGAGUUCACUGAUUGUUGUGAGCCUACAGGUAUCAUAAAAAUAGACAACCCAGUUAAUAAGAUGUUAAAUAAGGGAACAGACUAAGGGCAUUUUUAAAAAGGUAUAAUUACAAAGGUAGCCACUAGACCAAAAAUAUAAACCUUCGUAAAUAUCGGUAUAAAACACAUCACAUAGAUACCAAAUAUAACAUGGUACAUAAAGUAAUUAUUAAAAAAUAGGGAAAACCAAAAAUGUCUCUUGCACCAAUGAAUACAAAUGGCUUAACUUAUUAAAAUCACUUAUCUCAUUUAUUCAAAGAAAAAGAUGUCCAGUUUGCAUCAUGAAGCAAGACCAACUAUAUAUGGUAUAUGACACUUAAAAUCAAUCUGAAAGGUUAAACAUAAGGGAUGGGCAAAGGUAUACCAGGAGAAUGGAAAUAGCAUAGCAAUAUUUGUGAUCUUAAUAUUAGACAACGUAAAAUUCAAGUAUUGUGACAAGGAAAGACAUUUUCAAAUGCUAAAAGCCACAGAUUACAAUAAAAGAUCUAUGCCUUAAAUAAUCCAACUGUCAUUUUUAUAAAGCAGAAACUAUAGGAUAUCCACAGAGACACAGGUAGAAACAAAUAAUAGACUUAAACAAACCAUAAUUAGUACAAGGAAAGUCAGAUGGACCAAAAUAAGAUAUAGAGACCUCACAUAAUAGGUAGAUAGGUAGAAAUCUUAUGGAUCUGUUUCAGACCUUACAGCCUGGUAACAGGCACUAAAUCUUACUCUCCAGUAUACAUAGAGCAUUCACAAAAGUUGAUCAUAUAUAUUAGGAAAGAAAGCGUUGUUAAAUUCCAUAAAGCAAAAAUGUUACUAACAACACUGAUCAAAACUAGAAAUUUAUAGCAACAACGAAAACAAAAGCAAUGUCUCACUUGGAAAUACAUCUUCUAUUAAACAAUUCUUGGAUGAAAGGAGAAAACAUAAGCCAUAAUAACAAAAUUCUAAAAGAAAAAAGAUAAUGAAAACCCUACGUAUCAAAAUCUAUGGAAUGCUUUAAAACAAUGAACAGAGGAAAAAUUUAUAGCCUUAUUAAGUGCUUAAUAAAAAUGAGAGAAGGAAAGUAAACUAAAUUCCCAUCUCAGAAAGCCAGGAGAAAAAUAUUCUAAAAGAAAUCACAAGAAAGGAUUUAAUGAGGAUAAGAACAGAAAUUUUAUGAUUUAGG